CCUACGGGAGGCAGCAGUGAGGAAUAUUGGUCAAUGGGCGUAAGCCUGAACCAGCCAAGUCGCGUGAAGGAUGAAGGCUCUAUGGAUUGUAAACUUCUUUUAUAAGGGAAUAAAAUGCGGGACGUGUCCCGUUUUGUAUGUACUUUAUGAAUAAGGAUCGGCUAACUCCGUGCCAGCAGCCGCGGUAAUACGGAGGAUCCGAGCGUUAUCCGGAUUUAUUGGGUUUAAAGGGUGCGUAGGCGGCCUGUUAAGUCAGCUGUGAAAGUUUGUGGCUCAACCAUAGAAUUGCCGUUGAAACUGGGAGGCUUGAGUAUGUUUGAGGCAGGCGGAAUGCGUGGUGUAGCGGUGAAAUGCUUAGAUAUCACGCAGAACCCCGAUUGCGAAGGCAGCCUGCCAAGCCAUGACUGACGCUGAUGCACGAAAGCGUGGGGAUCAAACAGGAUUAGAUACCCCAGUAGUC
This 460-nucleotide ribosomal RNA is filed under the name uncultured bacterium. Its description in RNAcentral is "partial 16S ribosomal RNA". It matches the Rfam family "Bacterial small subunit ribosomal RNA", at positions 338 to 795 of the family's 1533-position model. The record is from RNAcentral.